UGGGGAAUCUUCCGCAAUGGACGAAAGUCUGACGGAGCAACGCCGCGUGAGUGAUGAAGGUCUUCGGAUUGUAAAGCUCUGUUAAUCGGGACGAAAGAGUUCUGUGUGAAUAAUGCAGAAAAGUGACGGUACCGGAAUAGAAAGCCACGGCUAACUACGUGCCAGCAGCCGCGGUAAUACGUAGGUGGCAAGCGUUGUCCGGAAUUAUUGGGCGUAAAGCGCGCGCAGGCGGCCUAUCCAGUCUGUCUUAAAAGUUCGGGGCUCAACCCCGUGAUGGGAUGGAAACUAGUAGGCUAGAGUAUCGGAGAGGAAAGCGGAAUUCCUAGUGUAGCGGUGAAAUGCGUAGAUAUUAGGAAGAACACCAGUGGCGAAGGCGGCUUUCUGGACGAAAACUGACGCUGAGGCGCGAAAGCCAGGGGAGCGAACGGG
Molecule: ribosomal RNA, 429 nt
Filed under: uncultured bacterium
Lineage: Bacteria
Also listed under: 1 other name
Description: bacterial SSU rRNA
Rfam family: Bacterial small subunit ribosomal RNA
Source: RNAcentral